This 301-nucleotide ribosomal RNA is filed under the name uncultured bacterium. RNAcentral's name for it is "partial 16S ribosomal RNA". It matches the Rfam family "Bacterial small subunit ribosomal RNA", at positions 509 to 809 of the family's 1533-position model. The record is from RNAcentral.
CAGCCGCCGCGGGAAUGCGAAGGGGGCUAGCGUUGCUCGGAAUGACUGGGCGUAAAGGGCGCGUAGGCGGUUUUGACAGUCAGAUGUGAAAUUCCUGGGCUUAACCUGGGGGCUGCAUUUGAGACGUCAAGACUAGAGUGUGAGAGAGGGUUGUGGAAUUCCCAGUGUAGAGGUGAAAUUCGUAGAUAUUCGGAAGAACACCAGUGGCGAAGGCGGCUUACUGGCUCAUACUGGACGCUGAGGUGCGAAAGCGUGGGGAGCAAACAGGAUUAGAUACCCCUGUAGUCCCUGUCUCUUAUAA